Molecule: long non-coding RNA, 3147 nt
Filed under: Nicotiana tabacum (common tobacco)
Lineage: Eukaryota; Viridiplantae; Streptophyta; Magnoliopsida; Solanales; Solanaceae
Description: long non-coding RNA (NTAB_LNC015743)
Source: RNAcentral
AUAGCUAAAAUAUUCGAACCCACGAGCGCAGAUCUCAACUAAAACUAUCUGAUGAUCUAAAAAUGGGAAAAGAAGCUAUUUGUACUAAGCUGAAAAAUUUGGACAAAAAUACCCAUGCGAGGCUAGUGCGGACCGCACAAAAUGGUGUGCGGCCGCAAUAAGGCUCUGAACUUGAAAAUUUAUGUCUCUGAACUCUGGCAAUACGAACCGCACAUAAUGGAGUGCGUUCGCAGAGGUUUCUGGUGCGGUCCGCAUGAAAUGGAGCGCGGACCGCAUUGGCUUGAAACUUGGAAUUAACAACUCUCUAAUCUUUCUCACUGCGUACCGCACUAAAUCGAAUGCAGCCGUGUUGAUCCCAGUGUUGACCGCACAAAACCUAGUGCGACCGUAUUGACUGUUUGCCUGAAUGUCAUGCUCUCUGAACCUCAUUCAUGCGGACCGCACAGAAUGGUGUGCGGCCGCAUUGAGCCUGUUUGCCUGAGCUUUAUCUUGUCUUGGUACUUAUGCAAGUUUCACUCCUUUUGGAGCUGAUCUUUGACAUCUUGUCACUUUGUUGAUCAAACCUGCAAUCAAGCACAACUUGUGAGCCUUUUGGGACUAUUUAGUAUAAAUUCCUAAUCAAAACAUAAGCAAGAAGGAGUAUAAAAUGCAUCAAAACCCCCUAGUUAUCACUAUAGAUUUGUAAUAUUGUCAUCUUUUGAUCUACCGUUGUUAUCCAUGUACCACAUCUUACUCAAAAUGCUUCAUUAACUCUUUUCUUAUUUCUCGCUAACAUUUAUGUCUAUCACUUUAUUCUGAAAACUCGAACAAGGCAUUUUUUUGCUUUUUUGCUUCCCUUUGCUCCAUCCAGCGGCUCUUUAAGUUGCUUAACGUUAUCGCUUUACUGGGGACGCGAGCUACACUAAGGUAAUAUGUAUCCCUUCAAGGCUUAUAGUACAUGUCUUUGUAGUACUCAUAUCUGGCUGCACUAUUUUAAAGUGUACCAUCUAGGUGUCUCACAAGGAGAUCUAUUAGCAUAUUUACAAUAUCCUUCGGAAAUGUCAACUGACACAAACAAUUCAUCCAUCACAUCUUCUUAUACUACUUCUAUUAACCCUCACAGGGCAUAUCUGGAAUGGGUGCGACCAAUUGUAUAUACCUCUGUUACUAUUGAAUAUAACUCAAAAAGCUUAUGUUCAUGUGCCUGAAUUAUAAACAUUGUUAACCUUUGUUAACUGGGCGCUUCGUACCCUUCUUUAUCUUGCUUCUUUUACUUGUUGAAACUUAUAUUUAUCUUCUUAAUUUCUCAUUUUAUUUCACCAUAAAGGUGGAUAGGCAUUCUUGCCUUAAGGCUUCUUAUCAAAAGGCUUACACCUUUUAGUAUGCACAUGAUCUGCUGAAGACCUCACAUUUACUUAUCAUAAGCAUGAUACAAAGUCGAGUUCCUCUAAUUCAACACUUCCACAGGUAUAUCUCUUAUCGAUCAUUUUUCUGAACGUAGGCAUCGUCUUAUUACAAAUAAAAAUAGAAGUUCGGGACUUGAAUUCUUAUAAGUGAGCUCUACCACACGAUCUAGAGUAAGAAGAAAGAGUGACAGUCUUAAAUGCCAUGUAGCCUCUUGCUUAUAAGUGUGGUGCAUGACACACCCAUAAACAAGACUAUACUAGACACGGCUUGUAGACUCCCUAGGACAAAACUACUCUGAUACCACUUUUUAACGACACAAACCGAUGGGCCGCGACAUGCACCCGGUACCUUACUUAACCGAGUACCAAUGUAACGCAUCUUUCUUAUUACAUCAUCAUAUACACGUGACAUACGGGCCUAAUAGGCCAACAUGAUCAUUUAUAAAUUUAAAACCUAGGCCGUACAAUCUUUUACGUACACGACAUAUGUCUACAAGCCUCUAAGAGUACAUAAAUAUCAUAAAGAUCGGGAUAAAGUCUCGCCGUUCCAAACAAUACAUGUCUAAAUCAUACUAACCAAACACGCAACACCGAAGCAAAUGGAGCGCACCAACAUCUUCCGCUGAGCUGAUAACCUACUUAAAGGGCUCUCGACCUGUCUAUCUAGACCUGCGGGCAUGAAACGCAGCGUCCCCAGGCAAAAGGGACGUCAGUACGAAAUAAUGUACCGAGUAUGUAAGGCAAUAUACUAAAGGUUGAAACUGAACUGAUAAUAUAAUAAUUGAAUGUAACUAAGAGUCAACAAUAAUCUGAAGAUAUUCUUACCUGCUGAUAAUGACUCAGCUCUCUCAAUAUAGUAAGUAAAAUAACUAUCCGGCCCUAUAAGGCUUGGUAUACAUAUAUAUGUGCUCUGUCGUAGUAGGCUCGCUCAUAAGCACUCGGCCAUACUAGGCUCUGUAUCUCGACCAACUGGGUCCGUUCAUAAGCACUCAGCCACAGUAGGCUCGGUAUAUAUAUAACUGCCCUGUCGUAGUAGGCUCGCUCAUAUGUGCUCGACCAUACUAGGCUCUAUAUCUCGACCAAUUGGGCUCGCUCAUAAGCGCUCGGCCAUAAUAGGCUCGGUAUAUAACUUACCAUCUGAUCAGAGGUUGCCCAAUAGGGGCCUGCCCAUCGAUUAUAGCUUGAUGAUAAUGAAAAUAUUGUAAUACUGUAUAUAUAGACUCUCUGCUCUCUUGACUGGAAGAAAGAAAUACUCAAUUGAAUAUAAAAUCCUGAUAAUGAGAAUAUUGUAACUUAGAAGGCUAGAAAAAUAUACGUAACUUGCGAGACUAGCAAAAUAUACGUAAAUUCCGGGAUAUAAAUUUUUCUUUAUGACUCGUUAUCAAACUUGUGUAACAACGAGAUCAUGCCAAAAUAAAGGAAGAGCUUAGCCUUAAUACCUGUUCCUUAAAUUAUUUGAUCGAAAUGAAGUUUCUGCUUCCGUGAAAUAUGUUGGAACGAGAAAACGAAGCUUCUGCUUCUGAAAUUGGAACGAAACUUUGCUUGAAUUUUGUUGGAGUUGGACGAAUUUGCUUCAAUUGUAGCCUUUGUCUUCGAAUUGGAAUAUUUCUGCCUCAACACUUCUUUGAACGAAUUUCCUUAGAAUCAAGACUUUUAAUUCUUUAACCUUUCCAAUUAAGACCAAAAGCUCCCCAACGUUAUUUUGGUUUCAAGUCUUAAGAGGAAAAUGUUUAUGCUUUUCUCAAGUUUGGUAACCAAAAAC